GAAAAGACAAAUCCUGGUUUCCGUGCCCAAUGUUUGACCGUCCGUCUUAUUUGAAAAAAUUAUAAAAAAAUUAAAAAGACAAGUCACGCAUAAAAUAUUAAUCAUAUUUUAUCAUCUAACAACAAUGAAAAUACGAAUUAUAAAAUUUUUUUAUAUAAGACGGACAGUCAAAGUUAGACACGGAAAUUAAGGGUUUGUCUUUUU
Molecule: non-coding RNA, 204 nt
Organism: Oryza glumipatula
Lineage: Eukaryota; Viridiplantae; Streptophyta; Magnoliopsida; Poales; Poaceae
Source: Rfam